This 304-nucleotide ribosomal RNA is filed under the name uncultured bacterium. Its description in RNAcentral is "partial 16S ribosomal RNA". It matches the Rfam family "Bacterial small subunit ribosomal RNA", at positions 506 to 809 of the family's 1533-position model. The record is from RNAcentral.
CAGCAGUAGCCGCGGUAAUACGUAGGGUGCAAGCGUUAAUCGGAAUUACUGGGCGUAAAGCGUGCGUAGGCGGUGAGUUAAGUCUGCUGUGAAAUCCCCGGGCUCAACCUGGGAAUGGCAGUGGAUACUGGCUCGCUAGAGUGUGUCAGAGGAUGGUGGAAUUCCCGGUGUAGCGGUGAAAUGCGUAGAGAUCGGGAGGAACAUCAGUGGCGAAGGCGGCCAUCUGGGACAACACUGACGCUGAGGCACGAAAGCGUGGGGAGCAAACAGGAUUAGAUACCCCGGUAGUCCCUGUCUCUUAUAU